Apis cerana (Asiatic honeybee) is the source of this 590-nucleotide long non-coding RNA. RefSeq lists it as uncharacterized. Lineage: Eukaryota; Metazoa; Arthropoda; Insecta; Hymenoptera; Apidae. The record is from RefSeq and is a predicted model, not a curated record.
CAGAUCUUAAUCUUAAUUAUUUUUUCUUUAAUUAUUUAAAAAUAAUAAAAUAUAUUGUCUAUAAUAUAAUUAAAUGAUAAAAAUUAUAUAAUCAAAAUAAAUAACGAUUCGAUUUAAAAUCAGCAUAAUAAGUAAAAAGAUCUUUGAUAGAUCAGUUUUUUAAACCUGGCAACACUGUAAUACGCAUUGGACUUCUCUAGACCGCGUGACGCCAAGAUCGAAAUUAAAGACGCAGCUUUCAAAGGUAGGGGCCCUCCGACGACGAAGUCGUGAAAAACAAAAAGGGCGAAGAGAGAGGGAUCGGGAUCGCUCGAUAAAACAGGGCGAUGUUGGAAGCACCGAUAGGUCCCAAACGAUUCUCCAUUGGGAGAAACAUCGUGACGCGAAGAGAAGGGAGGAGACUACGUACACACAAUGGGAUCCAAGAAGAGGAGCUGAGAGCAAAAGCGGUGAAUUAAUUGUCGCUCGCGCCGCCGACGAAGCCGCUACGAUCCGCAAGCCUGAUUUGUGAGCUGCACGCGUGUAUAUCAAGCCAGGAGGUGCUCGUUAAUUGAUGGCACCGGCUAUGCUCGAGCACAGAGAAUGGUAGA